AUACCUUUCCAGAUGAUGAAUGCUUUAGAAUGGCAGGAAUCAGUCUGCAACUGGACAAAACCAAAUUCAGGAAGCCCUUUUUCUGAAAUUCUGUCCUUAAGAAGGUUAAUGUUUUAGGUUCUGAAGCAGAAACACUGGACACAGGCAUUCGUAUCAAAAAAUGGACAAAGAUGCACACUUUUUAAUCCCUGAAUUCUCUACAUUUUUAUUUUGGUCUGAUUAUCUGUUGCAGAAAGGCUGCUUGUUCUUCUACUUGGGAGGAGUCCAAUUUGGACUAAGUCAUUUGCUUGCUGCCAAGGAAAACAAUUUGUAGGCAACAGACAGGAAG
This is a long non-coding RNA of Crotalus tigris (Tiger rattlesnake), 328 nucleotides long. RefSeq lists it as uncharacterized. The transcript has 3 exons. NCBI's taxonomy places the organism in Eukaryota, Metazoa, Chordata, Lepidosauria, Squamata, Viperidae. The record is from RefSeq and is a predicted model, not a curated record.